Molecule: long non-coding RNA, 709 nt
Filed under: Scleropages formosus (Asian bonytongue)
Lineage: Eukaryota; Metazoa; Chordata; Actinopteri; Osteoglossiformes; Osteoglossidae
Description: lncRNA (ENSSFOG00015026930.1)
Source: RNAcentral
CAACAUUGUGGUGUUUUAUGACCAGGUGUUGCGUGUGGAGGACUUAAAGUCCAAGUGUUAUCUCUACAGAGCAGGUGGGGACGGCAGGGAGUGGACAGAGCCCUCGGUGGAGCACCAGGUGCUUCCAGAGGUGUUCCGAGCUUCUCCUGAUCACCAGGAUGGAGGGAAUUGGGGCGCUGCCGCUGCUUCUGCUGCUCUCUGCACUACACUCUGUCACAGGGUUGGAGAGCAACAACUGCGAGUCGAACCCAGAGCUGCAAUGCAACUUCAUUUGCGACUGUUCAAACUGUACCGAUGAGCAAAUGUGUGGCUAUGAUGGACACACCUUUAUCUGCGACUUCGAGGACCUGGCGACCUGUGGCUGGAAGUCAUCGAACGCCUCCAUGUACAGGUGGGAGAGGCGCCAGCGGGGGCGCUCACUGCCAGACAGCGGGCCCUCGUCCGAUUUCACCACAGGCACCUCCACAGGUAUUGCGCUGACUGCACCGGCACCAGCACACACAUACGUACAGCUGUCAGCUUAACCUCUCUGUGAAACCCUAACCCGUCAAUCUUUUUACAAAAGGGAAAAAGCUGCAAAUGCAGAGAAUUAUUGGAACAUGUUGCAGUUUUUUUUUCCAAUCAUUGAAACAAGUGGGUGGGGGGAGCGAGGGCGCGGCGGGUUUGGCCGGGCCCCGCUCUCUGGCGGGUCUGGGGUUCGAGUCCCGCU